UACGGAGGAUGCGAGCGUUAUCCGGAUUUAUUGGGUUUAAAGGGUGCGUAGGCGGGCUUUUAAGUCAGCGGUAAAAAUUCGGGGCUCAACCCCGUCCGGCCGUUGAAACUGGGGGCCUUGAGUGGGCGAGAAGAAGGCGGAAUGCGUGGUGUAGCGGUGAAAUGCAUAGAUAUCACGCAGAACCCCGACUGCGAAGGCAGCCUUCCGGCGCCCUACUGACGCUGAGGCACGAGAGUGCGGGGAUCGAACAGG
This 252-nucleotide ribosomal RNA is filed under the name uncultured bacterium. RNAcentral describes it as "partial 16S ribosomal RNA". It matches the Rfam family "Bacterial small subunit ribosomal RNA", at positions 524 to 776 of the family's 1533-position model. The record is from RNAcentral.